AAGCGGUGGAUCAUGUUGUUUAAUUCGAUGAUACGCGAAGAACCUUACCAGGUCUUGACAUCCCCCGCGAUGCUUUAGAGAUAAAGCGGAGGUAUUCGGGGAGACAGGUGGUGCAUGGUUGUCGUCAGCUCGUGUCGUGAGAUGUUGGGUUAAGUCCCGCAACGAGCGCAACCCUUGUGUUUAGUUGCAAACAGGUCAAGCUGUGCACUCUAGACAGACUGCCGUGGACAACACGGAGGAAGGUGGGGAUGACGUCAAAUCAUCAUGCCCCUUAUGAUCUGGGCUACACACGUGCUACAAUGGCCGGUACAACGGGCAGCGAAGGAGCGAUCCGGAGCGAAUCCUAAAAAGCCGGUCCCAGUUCGGAUUGCAGGCUGAAACUCGCCUACAUGAAGUUGGAGUUGCUAGUAAUCGCGAAUCAGAAUGUCGCGGUGAAUGCGUUCCCGGGUCUU
This 452-nucleotide ribosomal RNA is filed under the name uncultured Fusibacter sp. Its description in RNAcentral is "bacterial SSU rRNA". It matches the Rfam family "Bacterial small subunit ribosomal RNA", at positions 927 to 1382 of the family's 1533-position model. Lineage: Bacteria; Bacillati; Bacillota; Clostridia; Eubacteriales; Fusibacteraceae. The record is from RNAcentral.